Molecule: ribosomal RNA, 305 nt
Filed under: uncultured bacterium
Lineage: Bacteria
Description: bacterial SSU rRNA
Rfam family: Bacterial small subunit ribosomal RNA
Source: RNAcentral
AAGCCUACGGGAGGCAGCAGUGGGGAAUAUUGCACAAUGGGGGAAACCCUGAUGCAGCGACGCCGCGUGAGUGAAGAAGUAUUUCGGUAUGUAAAGCUCUAUCAGCAGGGAAGAAAAUGACGGUACCUGACUAAGAAGCCCCGGCUAACUACGUGCCAGCAGCCGCGGUAAUACGUAGGGGGCAAGCGUUAUCCGGAUUUACUGGGUGUAAGGGAGCGUAGACGGCCAGACAAGUCAGAAGUGAAAGCCCAGGGCUCAACCCCGGGACUGCAUUGGAAACUGCCGGGCUGGAGUGUCGGAGGGGG